This is a long non-coding RNA of Arachis ipaensis, 1041 nucleotides long. RefSeq lists it as uncharacterized. The record is from RefSeq and is a predicted model, not a curated record. Lineage: Eukaryota; Viridiplantae; Streptophyta; Magnoliopsida; Fabales; Fabaceae.
CCUAAUUCCCAAAUCCUAGUAACCCUAACCCUAAUGUUUUCCUUUCCUCAGUCUCUGAACGCAGCCUCCACCCCCCUUUCUUCCUAAACACAACACACAAACAAAAGAAAGAAACGCAGAGAGAAAGAGCACGAAGAGCAGAGAAAAGAGAGACGGAAGGGAUGCUGCUCCGCUGCCGCCAUGACGUGACCGCCGGACCGCCGUCAUCGUCAGCGUUCCCCAACCUUGCCCGGACUGCAGCGCCUCCUGUCGGCCGUCCGUGGAGCUGCGAAGAGUAUCGCCGUCGAAGUCACACCAUCGCAGAAGGAACGAGGGGAGGGAGAUGAGCCCGAACCAGGGGCGGGAGGAAGAAGGCGUCGCUGUGGCUCCCGUUGCCGUCGCCGUUCGUGCUCUGUCGUCGCUGCCGUUCCAUGGAGACGCGUCGCCAUCGCUGAGUGAUGGAGGAAAAGGACGCACGAGAGGAGCCGCUGCUGCUGGGUUGCUGUUCUGCCACCGUCGCUGUCACGUGAUGGAGGAGGAAGUUGCUCUGCCACCAUCUGAGCUUGCUGUUGCAAAUGCCUAUACCGCUGCCGUAGUUUCUUCGUUCUGUUAUUACUUUCUAAUUGUUAUGCCCUCGGCGCUGCCACUAGAAGGUCGUCGGGGUUAGUUAGAGCUGCCGUUCUGAUUCUGCCGCAGCUUGUCCGUGUUCCUGCUCGUCCCUGUUCUCCGUUCAGCCUUCGCCAGAGCACUGUCAUCGGAGAAACACUACUGAAACCGGGCCAGAUUCACCGGUAAUGCUACUUAUUGUGGUUGCUGCUGUUCUGAUCUCUGUGGGUUCGACAUUGAGUGAUACAGGUUCGAAGACUCAGUUUGAAGCUGCGGGCGAUUGUUAGACCUUAUUUAUGAGUUAAGUUUAUGAAUUGAGUUGCUUUCAUAGAAUUCCCUCGCCUUUGUUGUUUAAGAUUUUAUUUUAUAAAGAGGGAUAGGAGUUGUAUCUAAGUUACACUUGAAUUUGUUUGUAUAAUAUUUACUAAUAAUUAUAUGAUUAUUAUUAUUUGGUGA